CCUACGGGAGGCAGCAGUGAGGAAUAUUGGUCAAUGGACGUAAGGCUGAACCAGCCAAGUCGCGUGAAGGCAACAGGAUCUAUGGUUUGUAAACUUCUUUUAUAGGGGAAUAAAGGUAUCCACGUGUGGAUUUUUGCAUGUACCUUCUGAAUAAGCAUCGGCUAACUCCGUCCCAGCAGCCGCGGUACAACGGAGGAUGCGAGCGUUAUCCGGAUUUAUUGGGUUUAAAGGUUGCAUAGUUUGUUUUUUAAGUCAGCGGUGAAAGUUUGUGUCUCAAACAUAAAAUUGUCGUUGAAACUGGAAGACUUGAGUGUGUUUGAGGUAGGCGGAAUGCGUGGUGUAGCGGUGAAAUGCAUAGAUAUCACGCAGAACUCCGAUUGCGAAGGCAGCUUACUAGGCCAUAACUGACACUGAAGCACGAAAGCGUGGGGAUCAAACAGGAUUAGAUACCCGAGUAGUC
Molecule: ribosomal RNA, 460 nt
Filed under: uncultured bacterium
Lineage: Bacteria
Description: partial 16S ribosomal RNA
Rfam family: Bacterial small subunit ribosomal RNA
Source: RNAcentral